AUGGGUAUUAUGGUAUUCAACAUUGGUGGUCGACCAGGACAAGGUGUCUGUGAGCGCGUAUUUCUAUGCUGUGGAUUUCACAUCAAGAAGCUCUGGCAAACAAAAAUUAUGCAGGCUGCUGACACUGAUAUUUCAGCUUUAGUUGAAAUUGAGGAGAAUAGCCCACAUCGAUUUGAGUUCUUCAUGGAUCGAGUUGGGGAUCAGCCUGUCUGUGCACGUACAGCCUGGGCAUACAUGAAAUCUGGUGGCCACAUUUCACAUUCUUUAUCUGUGUACAGCUGUCAACUUCGCAAUCCCAACCAGGUGAAGAAAAUAUUUGAGUUUCUUAAAGAUGGAUUUCAUGAAGUCAGCAGCUGCCUUGAUUUGUCCUUCGAUGACGAUUCUGUUGCUGAUGAAAAAAUUCCCUUCCUAGCAUACCUAGCUAGUUUUUUGAAAGAUAAUAAAACCAAUCCUUGUGAGCCUCCAGCUGGAUGUCUAAACUUCCGGAAUCUUGUUGCUGGAUUUAUGAAGUGCUACCACCACAUCUCACUGACAUCUGAUAAUGUUGUUGUAUUCCCUUCCCGUGCUGUGGCAAUAGAAAAUGCUCUUCAAUUGUUCUCACCGGCCCUUGCAAUUGUUGAUGAACAUCUGACCAGACAUUUGCCGAAGCAGUGGUUAAGAUCUUUAGCGAUUGAGGAAAGAGCAGACGGUAAAGACACUAUCGGUGUAAUUGAGGCACCACGCCAAUCAGAUUUGCUGAUCGAGUUGAUCAGGAAAUUGAAGCCUCACCUUGUUGUUGCUGGCAUGGCUCAAUUUGAGGCUAUCACCAGUGCUGCUGUUGUGAAUUUACUAAGCGCAACGAAAGAUGUUGGUUCUCGGUUACUGCUAGAUAUAUCAGAGCAUCUGGAGUUGUCUAGUCUGCCAAGAUCUAAUGGUGUAUUGAAAUAUCUUGCUGGAAACUCCCUACCUUCCCAUACAGCUAUACUGUGCAGUUUAGUAAAGAAUCAGGUAUAUCCUGAUCUGGAAGUUGCUUUUGUCAUUUCUGAAGAUGGAGGUGUCUGCAAGGCACUAUCACAAACUAUUGAACUAUUGGAAGGGCGUACCUCUGUAAUCAGCCAGCACUAUUAUGGAUGUCUUUUCCAUGAGCUGCUGGCUUUUCAAAUUGGUGAGAGGCAUCGGCAACAAAAGAGACGACCUGCAGAAGUGAUACCUGAGAAGAUGAUAGGAUUUUCAAAUUCAGCUAUCUCUAUCCUAAAAGAAGCUGACUUUUUUGUUCCUGAUUCCAAGGAAUCUGGCGUCAUUCAUAUGGAUUUAGAUCGUAGCUUCUUGCCAGUACCUUCUGCAGUGAAAGCCUCCAUUUUUGAAAGUUUUGUUAGGCAGAACGUCAGUGAUUCUGAAACUGAUGUCCGUUCCAGCAUCCAACAGCUAGUGAAAGAUAGCUAUGGUUUCCCAACAGACUAUCGUUCUGAAAUUAUAUAUGGCCACACCUCCCUUGCACUCUUCCGCAAACUUGUUCUUUGUUGCAUGCAAGAAGGAGAGCCUUCCUAUACAGUGAUUCCUCUCCUUCUCAUCCUCGUGCUGCUGCGAGCCACUGCCGGCGUUGCAAGGUGCGUCCUCAGGGCCGACCUCGACAUCAAUUUCGACCUCUUCGUCACAGGGAGGGACUACCUACAAGUUGAGGAGGUGUACAACAGGGUCGUGGGGUUGAGCAGCUACAAGGCGUAUGGCAAGCCGGUGAUGGCCAAGCAGACGGGUGUUACUAUAGUUUCUUGUAUUUAA
Molecule: ribosomal RNA, 1758 nt
Filed under: Triticum aestivum (bread wheat)
Lineage: Eukaryota; Viridiplantae; Streptophyta; Magnoliopsida; Poales; Poaceae
Description: partial small subunit ribosomal RNA
Source: RNAcentral